GACGAACCGUCCAAACGUUAUUCGGAAUCACUGGGCUUACAGAGUUCGUAGGCGGUCUGGAAAGUUGGGUGUGAAAUCCCUCGGCUCAACCGAGGAACUGCGCUCAAAAACUACCCGACUCGAGGGAGAUAGAGGAAAGCGGAACUGAUGGUGGAGCGGUGAAAUGCGUUGAUAUCAUCAGGAACACCGGUGGCGAAGGCGGCUUUCUGGGUCUUACCUGACGCUGAGGAACGAAAGCUAGGGGAGCGAACGGG
Molecule: ribosomal RNA, 254 nt
Filed under: uncultured bacterium
Lineage: Bacteria
Description: partial 16S ribosomal RNA
Rfam family: Bacterial small subunit ribosomal RNA
Source: RNAcentral